UCCUGAGAGACCAACCCUGAGAAACAGACACUCUGGGGACCCUGGCACUGCCAAGGCCGGACAUGCUUCUGCUGCUAUUGGCCCUGCUCUGGAGGAGGGAGGGGGCUGAUGGCCAGAGGUGGCCCGAGAAGGGGGUCCAGAAAAUUUACAGUCUGCAAGUGAAUGGCUUGGUGACUGUGCAAGAGGGCCUGUGUGUGUUUGUGCCCUGCAACUUCUGGAACCCUGAGAACUGCAGGUCUGACUUAACCUCAGCUCUCGGCUACUGGUUCCAGGAAGGGGCUGUUGUACACCACGAUGCUCCAGUGGCGACAAACAACCCAGAUCGUAAAGUGCGGGAGGACACCCAGGGCCGAUUCCACCUCCUUGGGGACCCCCGGGCCUACAACUGCUCCCUGGACAUCAGAGAUGCACAGAGAAGGGACUCGGGGACAUACUUCUUCAGGGUGGAGAGACAGUCUUCUGCAAGCUGCAGUUACAAACAGAAACUGCUUUCUGUGCAAGUGACAGCUCUGAACCACACACCUGACAUUCUCAUCCCGGGGACCCUGGAGUCUGGACACCCCAGGAACCUGACCUGCUCUGUGCCCUGGGCCUGUGAGAGGAGCACGCCACCCAUCUUCUCCUGGACGUCAGCUGCCCUCACCUCCCUGGGCCCCAGGACUCUCCUCUCCUCCGUGCUCACUCUCACCCCACGGCCCCAGGACCAUGGCAUGCCCCUCACCUGUCAGGUGACCUUGCCUGGGGCCAGAGUGACCACAGUGAAGACCAUCCACCUCAAUGUGUCCUACUCCCCGCAGAACUUGACAGUAACUGCCUCCCAGGGAAAUGGCACAGCACCCACAGCCCUGGAAAACGGCUCGUCAUUUUCAGUCCUGGAGGACCAGUCCCUGCACCUGGUCUGUGUUGUCAAUAGCAACCCCCCUGCCAGGCUGUACUGGGCCCGGGGGAGCCUGACCCUGUGUUCCUCAAAUCCCUUGAACUCUGGGGUGCUGGAGCUGCCUCGAGUGCAGGAGAAAGAUGAAGGAGAAUUCACCUGCCGAGCUCAAAACCUGCUGGGCUCUCAGCAUGUCUCCCUGAGGCUCUCCCUGCAGAGAAAAGCAUGGCCUUUUUCUGAGAGGCUGCUGGGGGCUGCUGGGGGAGCAGGUGUUAUGGCUCUAUUCUUCCUGUGUCUCUGCAUCAUCGUCAUAGCAGUGAGGUCCUGCAGGAAGAAAGCCACAAGGUCAGCAAUGAGCAUCAGGAACAUGGGCAUGGAAGGUGUAAACACUGUCACAAGGUCAGUCUCUCAGGGUCCCCUGAUUGAAUCCUGGGUAAGCAGCCUUCCCCCAGAUGCGGCUACCCUCUCCUUGGGGGAGGAAGAAGAGCUCCAUUAUGCAUCCCUCAGCUUUCAUGGGACAGACACUUGGGGCCGGCAGGAACAGGUGCCAACUGGUAUUGAAUACUCCGAGAUCAAGAUUCACAAAUGAGAGCCUGCUGAGACCCAGCCCUGGCUUGGGGGAUCUUGGCACCUGAGGGGCAAAGAAAAAGUCAGUCUGAUUCCUGUAGAAUUAAAAGGCCUGCAGGCGAUGAGCUAUUCAUUCUCAAGCCAUAUUCCAAAUACCACAUCCACAACGGAUCCCUGCUUCCUCUGCACCACCACCCGCUCUAGCCUUUCCACUUUCUCUUCUGAGCAACCGAGUAAAACAGCUGAGGACAUAGGUUGUGAAGCCGGACUACCAGAAUUUGAGCGCUGCCUCCUCUGUUGAUUGGAACUGGAACGUGGGAAAAAGCACUCAAACUUCCCACAGCUCAGUUCUCUUCUCUGUAAAUGGAGGUGGCGUUCACAACAGUCACUUCCUCUGCAGUGAGACUAUGAGGGCCGCACAGAUUAGAAGAGGGGCUGGCACAUAGUAAGUGCUCAUUUGAUGUUAGCUGACCAACUCCCCCUGGGACUCACUCUUGCUCUGAUCUGAGGUCCCCCAGGGCUUUAUGGAGGGGGGCAGCUUUGGACUUGGACCUCAGAGGACAGGACAGGGUGGGGGGUAGAUUUUACCCUACCAUCGUGAGCAUGGCUUUGCAGGGUGGGGACAGCAUACAUGAUGAUGGGCACUGCCUAGGCAAAAGCACAGAGAUGGGAAGAUUUGGGGAACAUGAGCGUCAGAGGUGGGCUACUGUACUUACGGGACAGCUGGAUCUGGAAUUCCCUGUACAAGGUCAGCUGGGUCGCAGGGUUCUCCACGAUGCAUCUGUAUUUGCCCAUCUGGUCCCAGGUCAGACUUUGGAGAGUGACGCUUGCCUCUGAGAAGCUCAGGAGAGAGCCAUUGUGGAUCCACUGGUACGUGGAACUGGGUUUGGAAAUGGCAUCACACUCCAUCAUCACCUGGGAGCCAAUCUUAGCAGACAGGACGCCUUUGGAGGUAAUGGGACUGGUACUCAGCCGCACAUUGUCUGGCCCAUCUGCAGAGAUGGCAGGAGACCCGUAGCUAUGUUUCUGACCCCUUGGGAUCCUGUCUCCUUCCCUCAAUCCACACACAGUCCUCCCUUACCAGAAGGUGCUCCACCGUUGCACCCCAAGUAUCCCCUAGAUCCAACACAUGCAAGGCAGCUGUGCCAACAACAUUACUAUAACUAUAACAUCUUCCAUUUCAAGCAUCUAUUAUGAGUCAGUCCCAUGACAGACCUUCACAUCAUGAUAAAAUAGGAGUAGAAGUAAUAUAUCAGGUCCCCUGAACGUUGGGCUCUGUUCUAAACACUUUAUAGGUUCAUACAUUUGCUUAAUCCCCAUAACAACCCAUGGGUUAAUUUUAUAGAUGAGGCAAAUGGGGUUCCCAAAGAGAGGAUUAGGGAUUUCAUAGCAUCCUACUGACCCACAAAUGGACUAAACAAAUUCCCCUAUGGCCUGGGAGGAAUCUCCCUGCAGAAGCAGAUCCUAGGUCCUGGCUCUUGACUGCAAACCUGCAGCCAGCAAGCUGUGUGUGGAGGUCAGAAACUGUCUGCUCUGUGACCACUUUAUCUCCAUGAUUGCCAGAGCAUGCUUGUUAGGAAAUCUGAUGGACUUCGUGUGGUUCUAGAUUUAGAUGUGAACCGUUCAAGACUUGUGCUUUUUCACAGUCCGAAGAUGUGAAAGAGUUUGGUAAAUGUGAAAAAGUCCCCGAACAUUGUAAAGAUCCAAAGUUCAUUAUAUUUAUAAGAUGAUGUCUUCGAUUUACAAGACCCGUUUGAUAUUUUGGAGGAGGUCUGGCUGGAUUGUGUACUUGGGUUGGUGGGUGGUUGAAGGAUCAUGGAGAAAAGAGAAUGAAUGAAAUCUGUCAUUUAGCUUUAAAAUCAAACUGUUUAAGGGAGGAUAGCCAGUUCAAUCUGAGUAAAAGGAAAAGUGAAGGUGAUUUUACUAAAUUUAGAAAACCAGAAUAAAAAGACCAAUGUAUCUGAAGGCUCAAGGGAACAUGGGAUUUGAAUAUUUAACAAGUUGAAUGACAUUUUUAAGAAACUAUUAGUUGUAAGAAGUCCUGUCUUUACAAAAGCCAUAUCUGAACAAAUUUGCACUCUUUCUAAUCUGAGGAGUAGCAAGUUGGGUCCCCAUUUUAAAUAGCAGAUCAUUCUGUGCCCUGAGGGUGAUUCUAAGUCCAGAGAGCUGAGAUUCAAACCCAGAUACAGCUGGCUGGGGGCUGACUCAUGGUGUUUCCUCUCCCCGGUUCUGCCUGUAUUAUUGCUACAUCCCUGGGUGGCCCUAAGCCCACCCCCAGCAUUACUCCAGGGCCCCAGACCACUCACAGGCCACAGUCAGAGAGAUAAUUUUACUAUUCUGAGGAAUCUCCAGGAUGCUGUCUAUCUCGCAAUAAAGUGUUCUGUCAUAGCGGCUGACUCUGUGAAUGACAAGGGUCUUGAGGUCCGGGGAGAUUGUCAUCCGGUCACUGCUGGACACCAGUGUAAAAUCCACAUACCACUUGACAGUAGUGGCAUUGGUGUAGCAAAUGGCGGCCACAGAAUCCACGUCUUCUACAAGAGAGGUGGCGUUGGCCCAGAUGUCUGGCUUGCCUUCCACAUCUGGGGGAAGCAGGAAGAAGACAUUAGGGGUGGGGUCUGCCUCCCCAAGCUCUGCUUGGGAGAGAAACCCCGAAGGGGCUUCCGGGGUAGGUUGGUGAGAAGCCAAGAGUUGUAAGAUGGGGUCUGAGGUCUUGGCAGGGGAGCAGCCCUAGAGCAGGGAGGGACAGAGAAGUAGGGAGUGGGCACAAGUGGUUGAGGUGUGGACACUAGUCUGAGUCUCCCAUCCUAGGUGUGGAGUCAUCACUGUGCAUCCACUGCAGUAAUGGUGAGUUCUUGAGAUAGAUGUGUGGCCUAAUGGUUGUUUCUGAACCCAGGACCUAAAACGAGAACACCCCCAACUGAGGAGCCAUCGGUAGCAUUCAAUGUGACAGGUGACAUUUGAACUCUGUAUAAUAAUUGCUCCCUUUAUCUGAGUCCCAUUCACUUUACAGUUACUUACAGAUUACUUACAGUUACUUGCACAUACAGAUACUCCCUCCAACCUUACAAAAGACAGAGGAGAUACUAUCCCCAUUCUACAGAUGAGGAAACAGAACACCACAGAGGGAAGAUGAAGGCUCAAGGCCAUGGGACAUAUUCAUAGUCAGAAGUAAACACAGGACUUCUUAUCUCCAAAUCCCCACUCUACCCACUCAGCCCCGUGGAGCCCCCAGGAGCUGUCUAUAGUAGACAGAAUUCCAAGACGGCCUCAUGACUUCAAUCUGUAUAGUCCCUGCCCCUCAAAUGUGGGUAGAGCCUAUGACUUCCUUCUAACCUAAACAAUAUGGCAAAAGUGAUGGACUGUCAUUCCAAUCGUUACCCUUAUGUCAUAUAAGACUCCUUCUUAACAGAGUUAAAACUUCUUAACAGAGUCUCCCUUUCCCAGAGAGGCAGAAUUCAGUUGACCUUGAAGAAUCAAAGAGUCAUGAUGUGACAUUCCCAUGGACAGAGCCAUACAUGAGACCACAGCCCCACCUUGCGAGUCUCAGAGCACAGCACUUGCCAGACUUGCCAGACAGGGAUGUGUGCUAAUAAAUGGGUAUUGUCUAAGACUGCCACUUGUGGCUCUUUGUUAUGCAGCAGAACUAACUGAUACCCUGAGAGUGAAACUGGAACCCUUGAAGGAAACCAGUGACCCAUCUCAGCAGGAGAAGCUGGACUAUAUCUGCCAAGUCUCCCCCUGUCACCUGCAGGUGGAGGAGACUUGGACAGUAUGAUCUCCCAGGGACCUCACUCCCAAAGCUCCCAGGUCUGGAAAUGGGCAACCUGCCAACUCACCUUGUAUUUCAAGCCAGCCGGUUGCUGUCUGGGUCCCAUUGCCAGUGUCCACCCUCACAGUGUAGUUCCCUGUGUCACUUAAUGCAGAUCGCCUGAUCAUCAGGUCACCUAAUGUGGUCACAUUCUCCCGGCCUCUGUACAUGGGCCCAGUCUGCCAGAAAUUGGAGGGAGGUUUGUAGCUGACGAUCAUAUUGUCCUCAGUGUCAUUUGCACCACGAUGCCAGCUGAAUUCCAGAGCAUCUUCGGUGGCAUUCUCAAGGACUAUGAUGGUCCGAAGUCCCUUGAACCCUAAGAGUGACUCUGGGCUGAUGUAGAUUUGGCUAGAGGCUUGGCGGGUCCCCCAGGCCA
Molecule: RNA transcript, 5625 nt
Organism: Mustela erminea (ermine)
Lineage: Eukaryota; Metazoa; Chordata; Mammalia; Carnivora; Mustelidae
Gene name: sialic acid-binding Ig-like lectin 8
Exons: 8
Source: RefSeq, a predicted model, not a curated record